RNAcentral lists this ribosomal RNA (265 nucleotides) under Escherichia coli. RNAcentral describes it as "partial 23S ribosomal RNA". It matches the Rfam family "Bacterial large subunit ribosomal RNA", at positions 138 to 441 of the family's 2925-position model. Lineage: Bacteria; Pseudomonadati; Pseudomonadota; Gammaproteobacteria; Enterobacterales; Enterobacteriaceae. The record is from RNAcentral.
UUUCGACACACUAUCAUUAACUGAAUCCAUAGGUUAAUGAGGCGAACCGGGGGAACUGAAACAUCUAAGUACCCCGAGGAAAAGAAAUCAACCGAGAUUCCCCCAGUAGCGGCGAGCGAACGGGGAGCAGCCCAGAGCCUGAAUCAGUGUGUGUGUUAGUGGAAGCGUCUGGAAAGGCGCGCGAUACAGGGUGACAGCCCCGUACACAAAAAUGCACAUACUGUGAGCUCGAUGAGUAGGGCGGGACACGUGGUAUCCUGUCUGA